AGUAUUAUGUCUGAUUUAAGUAAUAAAUUGUAAAUUUAUUUAAAAGAUUAAUUAUCUUUAAUACUA
Molecule: transfer RNA, 66 nt
Filed under: Auplopus sp. SJW-2017
Lineage: Eukaryota; Metazoa; Arthropoda; Insecta; Hymenoptera; Pompilidae
Description: tRNA-Tyr
Source: RNAcentral